UACGUAGGGUGCAAGCGUUAAUCGGAAUUACUGGGCGUAAAGCGUGCGCAGGCGGUUAUGUAAGACAGAUGUGAAAUGCCCGGGCUUAACCUGGGAACUGCAUUUGUGACUGCAAGGCUGGAGUGCGGCAGAGGGGGAUGGAAUUCCGCGUGUAGCAGUGAAAUGCGUAGAUAUGCGGAGGAACACCGAUGGCGAAGGCAAUCCCCUGGGCCUGCACUGACGCUCAUGCACGAAAGCGUGGGGAGCAAACAGG
RNAcentral lists this ribosomal RNA (253 nucleotides) under uncultured bacterium. RNAcentral describes it as "partial 16S ribosomal RNA". It matches the Rfam family "Bacterial small subunit ribosomal RNA", at positions 524 to 776 of the family's 1533-position model. The record is from RNAcentral.